GAUGAACGCUGGCGGCGUGCCUAAUACAUGCAAGUCGAGCGAACAGACGAGGAGCUUGCUCCUUUGACGUUAGCGGCGGACGGGUGAGUAACACGUAGGUAACCUACCUAUAAGACUGGGAUAACUUCGGGAAACCGGAGCUAAUACCGGAUAAUAUUUCGAACCGCAUGGUUCGAUAGUGAAAGAUGGCUUUGCUAUCACUUAUAGAUGGACUUGCGCCGUAUUAGCUAGUUGGUAAGGUAACGGCUUACCAAGGCAACGAUACGUAGCCGACCUGAGAGGGUGAUCGGCCACACUGGAACUGAGACACGGUCCAGACUCCUACGGGAGGCAGCAGUAGGGAAUCUUCCGCAAUGGGCGAAAGCCUGACGGAGCAACGCCGCGUGAGUGAUGAAGGUCUUCGGAUCGUAAAACUCUGUUAUUAGGGAAGAACAAACGUGUAAGUAACUGUGCACGUCUUGACGGUACCUAAUCAGAAAGCCACGGCUAACUACGUG
RNAcentral lists this ribosomal RNA (497 nucleotides) under uncultured bacterium. RNAcentral's name for it is "partial 16S ribosomal RNA". It matches the Rfam family "Bacterial small subunit ribosomal RNA", at positions 28 to 507 of the family's 1533-position model. The record is from RNAcentral.